CUGCUUGCUCUAAGAGCUGCUGAUACUCCUGGGAAGGAAGCUCCAUGGGCCCUGGGAAUGGGGCUGGUGGUAGGCGAGAAAAGAGAAGAGGUCACCAAACACAGAGACAGUUGAUGAGUAAGAAAGAGUGAAGAACUUCAGAUGACCCUGGGCUGAAGAGACACAGCAUAAAGGUGGUAGGCAUGAGUGUUGAGUUGAAGUGGAACUCCUGCCCAUCAUUGCAUUUUCAGGCCCCAAUGCCCACCAAGGGUCCUAUCAAGCCUUCCUGUGUCCGUCAUGGAAAUCAGUGCAUGCAGGUGUCACAACAGGGAAUGUGCAUUGGACAGAUACUAUAUCUUACAAGCGUCAGCUGAAGAGGACAUGGAAGGAAAUCAGGACACACAGUUUUCUCCAUAAAUAAAGUUGGUUCUUCUGAAGAGCUUAUGACUGGCCAAAGUGCAGAGCAUAAGUGACUGUGGAGUGUCCCACUUCCAAUGGGACCUCUACGUCACUCCCCUCCCCUCAAAGAUGCAGGAACGUUGUGAGAAGAGGCAUCAGGACAGCGUCUUCUGGACAGAACAUGGCUGGUGAACUCUGAACUCAGAGCAGCUGCUGUUGCCUGCCCACAAGCCCAAGCCAGUCAGCAGAGGGGUUCCUGAGGCCCUACUUCUAGUUGUGGAGAUUUUGGAAGUUGUUGAGUUUUUUUCAGGGGUAUG
Molecule: long non-coding RNA, 695 nt
Filed under: Cricetulus griseus (Chinese hamster)
Lineage: Eukaryota; Metazoa; Chordata; Mammalia; Rodentia; Cricetidae
Description: lncRNA (ENSCGRG00000024874.1)
Source: RNAcentral